RNAcentral lists this ribosomal RNA (459 nucleotides) under uncultured bacterium. Its description in RNAcentral is "partial 16S ribosomal RNA". It matches the Rfam family "Bacterial small subunit ribosomal RNA", at positions 339 to 795 of the family's 1533-position model. The record is from RNAcentral.
CUACGGGUGGCACCAGUGAGGAAUAUUGGUCAAUGGGCGCAAGCCUGAACCAGCCAUGCCGCGUGCAGGAAGAAUGCCCUAUGGGUUGUAAACUGCUUUUAUUUGGGAAUAAACCUCUUUACGUGUAGAGAGCUGAAGGUACCAAAUGAAUAAGCACCGGCUAACUCCGUGCCAGCAGCCGCGGUAAUACGGAGGGUGCAAGCGUUAUCCGGAAUCAUUGGGUUUAAAGGGUCCGCAGGCGGAUUUAUAAGUCAGUGGUGAAAUCCUAUCGCUUAACGAUAGAACUGCCAUUGAUACUGUAAGUCUUGAAUUCGGUCGGAGUGGGCGGAAUGUGUAGUGUAGCGGUGAAAUGCAUAGAUAUUACACAGAACACCGAUAGCGAAGGCAGCUCACUAGGCCUGAAUUGACGCUCAGGGACGAAAGCGUGGGGAUCAAACAGGAUUAGAUACCCGAGUAGUC